Molecule: non-coding RNA, 144 nt
Filed under: Rhizobium sp.
Lineage: Bacteria; Pseudomonadati; Pseudomonadota; Alphaproteobacteria; Hyphomicrobiales; Rhizobiaceae
Description: FMN sequence
Rfam family: FMN riboswitch aptamer (RFN element)
About the family: The RFN element is a highly conserved domain that is found frequently in the 5'-untranslated regions of prokaryotic mRNAs that encode for flavin mononucleotide (FMN) biosynthesis and transport proteins. This element is a metabolite-dependent riboswitch that directly binds FMN in the absence of proteins.
Source: RNAcentral
GAAUGUUCUCAGGGCGGGGCGAAACUCCCCACCGGCGGUAUCCGGAGCGAUUCGGGAGCCCGCGAGCGCCUUCCAAUGGAAGGGUCAGCAGAUCCGGUGCGAUGCCGGAGCCGACGGUUAGAGUCCGGAUGGAAGAGGACAAGU